ACGAACGCUGGAGGCAGGCUUCACACAUGCAAGUCGAGCGCCUCGCAAGAGGAGCGGCAGACGGGUGAGUAACGCGUGGGAAUCUACCCAUCUGUUCGGAACAACUCCGGGAAACUGGAGCUAAUACCGUAUAAGUCCUUCGGGAGAAAGAUUUAUCGGAGAUGGAUGAGCCCGCGUUGGAUUAGCUAGUUGGUGGGGUAAUGGCUUACCAAGGCGACGAUCCAUAGCUG
RNAcentral lists this ribosomal RNA (230 nucleotides) under Mesorhizobium sp. ISO535_OTU34. RNAcentral describes it as "partial 16S ribosomal RNA". It matches the Rfam family "Bacterial small subunit ribosomal RNA", at positions 29 to 289 of the family's 1533-position model. Lineage: Bacteria; Pseudomonadati; Pseudomonadota; Alphaproteobacteria; Hyphomicrobiales; Phyllobacteriaceae. The record is from RNAcentral.